CGCAAGGAGAGCGGCAGACGGGUGAGUAACGCGUGGGAAUCUACCCAGCUCUACGGAAUAACUCAGGGAAACUUGUGCUAAUACCGUAUACGUCCGAUAGGAGAAAGAUUUAUCGGAGUUGGAUGAGCCCGCGUUGGAUUAGCUAGUUGGUGGGGUAAUGGCCUACCCAGGCGACGAUCCAUAGCUGGUCUGAGAGGAUGAUCAGCCACACUGGGACUGAGACACGGCCCAGACUCCUACGGGAGGCAGCAGUGGGGAAUAUUGGACAAUGGGCGAAAGCCUGAUCCAGCCAUGCCGCGUGAGUGAUGAAGGCCCUAGGG
Molecule: ribosomal RNA, 320 nt
Filed under: uncultured bacterium
Lineage: Bacteria
Description: bacterial SSU rRNA
Rfam family: Bacterial small subunit ribosomal RNA
Source: RNAcentral